RNAcentral lists this ribosomal RNA (447 nucleotides) under uncultured bacterium. Its description in RNAcentral is "partial 16S ribosomal RNA". It matches the Rfam family "Bacterial small subunit ribosomal RNA", at positions 331 to 795 of the family's 1533-position model. The record is from RNAcentral.
CCAGACUCCUACGGGAGGCAGCAGUGGGGAAUAUUGCACAAUGGGGGAAACCCUGAUGCAGCGACGCCGCGUGAAGGAUGAAGUAUUUCGGUAUGUAAACUUCUAUCAGCAGGGAAGAAAAUGACGGUACCUGACUAAGAAGCCCCGGCUAACUACGUGCCAGCAGCCGCGGUAAUACGUAGGGGGCAAGCGUUAUCCGGAUUUACUGGGUGUAAAGGGAGCGUAGACGGCAUGGCAAGUCUGAUGUGAAAACCCGGGGCUCAACCCCGGGACUGCAUUGGAAACUGCGAGGCUGGAGUGUCGGAGAGGCAGGCGGAAUUCCUAGUGUAGCGGUGAAAUGCGUAGAUAUUAGGAGGAACACCAGUGGCGAAGGCGACUUUCUGGACUGUACCUGACGCUGAGGCGCGAAAGCGUGGGUAGCGAACGGGAUUAGAUACCCCAGUAACA